GAUGAACGCUGGCGGCGUUCCUAAUACAUGCAAGUCGAGCGAACAGACGAGGAGCUUGCUCCUCUGACGUUAGCGGCGGACGGGUGAGUAACACGUGGAUAACCUACCUAUAAGACUGUGAUAACUUCGGGAAACCGGUGCUAAUACCGGAUAAUAUAUUGAACCGCAUGGUUCAAUAGUGAAAGACGGUUUUGCUGUCACUUAUAGAUGGAUCCGCGCCGCAUUAGCUAGUUGGUAAGGUAACGGCUUACCAAGGCAACGAUGCGUAGCCGACCUGAGAGGGUGAUCGGCCACACUGGAACUGAGACAAGGUCCAGACUCCUAAGGGAGGCAGCAGUAGGGAAUCUUCCGCAAUGGGCGAAAGCAUGACGGAGAAACGCCGCGUGAGUGAUGAAGGUCUUCGGAUCGUAAAACUCUGUUAUUAGGGAAGAACAAAUGUGUAAGUAACUAUGCACGUCUUGACGGUACCUAAUCAGAAAGCCACGGCUAACUACGUG
This 497-nucleotide ribosomal RNA is filed under the name uncultured bacterium. Its description in RNAcentral is "partial 16S ribosomal RNA". It matches the Rfam family "Bacterial small subunit ribosomal RNA", at positions 28 to 507 of the family's 1533-position model. The record is from RNAcentral.